Alligator mississippiensis (American alligator) is the source of this 10942-nucleotide long non-coding RNA. RefSeq lists it as uncharacterized. The transcript has 3 exons. Lineage: Eukaryota; Metazoa; Chordata; Crocodylia; Alligatoridae. The record is from RefSeq and is a predicted model, not a curated record.
CGGGUACUGCUCGGGAGAGGCUUGAAUGCAUCCUCUUUCUCUCUCUUUUUUCGUCCAAUUUUAUUCUAUUUCCAAUCAGGCACCAGCAGAAGUGUCCUGGCAGCGCUGCAGAGGGAGCCCCGAUGGGUUGGGAGUUUGCCUUAUUUUUUUUUCCCUCCUCCUCCAUGUACUUCUGCUGCAGGGGCUGGGGGAGGCAGGAGGAGGAGGGUCUAGGUGCCGGAUGCCCGAGUGCCUUGCUCCCCCAGCCAAGGCGUUGGGGGAAUAGGGUGCGCUCAAAGCUACAGCAUCCCUCCAAUGUAGGGGGGGUUGGAGUGGCAAGACCCCCGCGUCUUGGGUCUGCUGCACCUGCACAUGGAAAGGUUUUUGCUGAAGGUUGAUAGGCUUUUUUUUUUUGCCUUUUCUCUUUUUGUGUGUGGAGGUUUUACCUAGUUUUUGACUCUUAAAAUAUUGCCCUUUGGGGCUGAAUUUGGCCGGAUGCAGAGAAACUCCAUGCGGACUGGGGUAGGGUCCGCGUGUUUUUGGUGCCGCCUUCAGUGCCUAGACUGCUCCCAACUUUAAUGAGAGUUUUAGGGACCUGGAUCGAAGGCUUGACAGGAUCCCAUCGAUCCAGUGUUUUCCUUGUGGGAAUGUUCUGGAACAUGAGCUCCCGUGUGUGCACACGCAUACACACACACACACACACACACACACACAAAUCCCCACUUCCCUCCCACGCACGUGACACCAGAGCAUCCUUAACACGCUUUUGACAAUGAUCAGGGUCCCUGCAGGAGAUGAGAAAAGCUGAAGCGAAGCAGCCUGUGACAGAGCCUCAGUAAUACAAGCUAACAAAUGCAUGAAGGCACAGUCUGCUUAUGUGAGUAUUACAAUGAUUGGCAUUUCUGCAAACAGCACAUGAUAAGUGGUGCAAAUACAUUUUCAAAGCUUAAUCAAUACUAGGCUCUUUGAUAUUGCUGGGCACUUUGGGAAUAGAUGAUUCCUCAGCAUGCCAACUAAAUAGUUUUCCCUUGGUCACAUGGCUGUGUUUCAAUCGAUUUGCAUUGGGGAAACACAAAGCAAGGGGCAGCAUACUUGUGUUUUUAGGGUGGCAUUCCCCCAUCCUGUGGAUAGUCUUUGCUAAGGGGAGGAUGAAUGAAUUUCACUACCUCAGCAGUGGCCAGCACAUAACCUAUGCGCUGUUUAAUUCCCACCUACCGUAAGCCCUGAGCUGUUAGCGUAUUCAGGAAAAUAGGAUGUCUUUGGAUGUCUUAAUCUGAACAUAAAUGGUUGUCUUGGACUUUCUCUGUGUACCGGGUGACAGCAGGCAGGGAGUCCCUUAACUUACCUUACCUGGUGGGCUGAGUGCUACCAAGUGAGGUGUGCCUAAUAGCAGGUCCCUUGGCUCUGCCUUAAGAUGCUCCCCAUCUACUUCAGGUCCACUAUGGGUCUCCUCUCACCUGAGCAGUCGGCCUGUGCAGUGCAGUGCAGAGUGGUCCUUGCAUGGCCUCCUCCUCUCCGGGUGAGCUUCAUUCUUACUGGGAAUAUUCCAAGUGCCCUUGCCAUGUGUUUGCUUUUCAAACAACACCAGUUGAAAGAGCUGAACUUUGGCAGAGUUUACAAUGAACUGAUCACUAACAAUUAAGAGGCUACAAAUUCUCAGCAGAAUCCUAAUGGUGUUGAGAAAUGGCUUGUUAGUUUGUCCUCCAUAGUGUAGAAAUCUGCAGCCGUACUGACCCCAUGGAAUAGAUCUCUGGCAGCUGGCUGGGUGUAGAUGGCAGGUAAUGAUUUAUUUAAUCAUGCUCUGUAAAGGCACAUAGUAUGGAGAUAACCUUUGGCGGGGGAUUCUCUCAGAUACAAAAUAUAGAAACUAGUAGGCGUCCAGAAGACAAGAGAGCAGAAGUGUUUUAGGUGACUUGACCUGCAUUUAAUGAACUGCCAUCAGCAUUCAUGCAAAACUCCCACUGAUGUCAAUGGGAGGUCUGUGCACGGCCCCACUGCAGCAUAUAGUCUGAUAGGCAUUGGCGCUAAUUCUGCUCUCGUGACAGAAAUAGCUCCUCUGAAGGCACCGAAAUGCUGUCAAUAUAAAAUUGCUGAGAAGUCUGGGGUUCUUGUUGCUAAUGGAUGUAAUGGACUUGUUAAUGCAAUGGAUAUACAUGCAAGGAAAAGGAAAUGAAACUAAGGAAAUCUAGUAUCAGGAGUUGCCUUUAUUUCUGUCAAGACUGUAUUGUUUCAGUUGUCAGCUGCUUUACUUCCAGACAUUGCUUCAGGUCCCUGGAUGACAAGAAAAAAGAUUCGAAAGAAUCAGCUAAGGAUAGCACAGAGAAACUUCCACUUAUUUUUAAAAAAUCUCUCUCUCUCUCUCUCUAUCUCUCUCUCUAUAUAUAUGGAUAUUCAUAGCCUAAUAACUUAAUUAUUAGUCUUAAUAUCAUGCUGAAUAGUGCUCAACACAUUGAUCAGUACAGGUGAACUCGGCAGGGUUCCUGUAGGAGACAACACCACUCACUGGGUGCAUCUACACAUGCACAUUUACUGCUCAGUAACCAAAAAUUACUGCGCAGUACGGGUGUGUGUCUACACAUGUGCACCUGUACUGUGCAGUAACUAUGGCGAUUUACACCCACUUAGUUACUGUGCAGUAAGGCAUGUAUAGACUGCGACUUGGGAGUAACUUUACUCCCUAGUCACAGCACGCACAGUGUUACUGUGCUGUAACGCCUACAUGUGUAGAUGCCAGUCUAACAACUGCUUACUGAGAAGUAACUUACUUUGCAGUAAAUGCAUGUGUAGACAUGCCCACUGUGAGCCAAGGGAUUUCACAGGCUGACCUAUAGGUCUGCAUCCUCAGUCAAAACUCCAUUAAGCCAGAAUUGCGGUGUGCAACAAAAUACAUUCUCUCCUGCAUUUAAAUGCAUUGGAAAAGCUGGAGACUCACAGUUUUUUUAAGGUUAAUUAGGUCGUGCCAAGAAGAAUUAACUGGAGUUGUUUUCUUCCUCUCUCUCUUUUUAUAAGAGCCUUUAUAAUUACCUUUAUCUCUAUUGGUUUGCUCAUCUACCUUUUUUUCCCCCUGCAGGGCAACAUAAAAUACAGCAUAAAAUACUUUUCAGAUUUGUUAAAAAACAUUUUGAUCAAUCACAUUAACAAAUGAUGUACAGAUUCUGAUUAAGUUACAAUGCCCACGCUGCAUGAUAAUUUAUGCGCCAGAUCUUUAUAUAUAUAGCUAUGAGCCUGACUGUUAAUCUUUAUUUAAUGGUGUACUAACGGUAUUCACUACUACGGUGCUAAAUGAGAAUUUGAUUUUCAGUUGCUUACAUCUUGUUUGGAAAAUAAAGGAAACAGUAGCUUAAGGCACCCCCAUUCAGCAAGUAUUCAGGAGGGGGCUACCAUUUUAGCCAGCCUAGUCUUUCAGGCUCCCUUUGCUCACCUGCUGUGGACCGUACUCUUGAUUCAGGCAUAUAAAUAAUCUGCUUCCUUUCCCACUGAGCUUGGAUGUUUGCCUUUGGCGACAUGAAAGCAUGACUCCUUGUCUCCAUAUAUGGAAAGCAGUCAAGUGACCUGACUGUGUGCCAGCAGGAAAAUCACUUCUAUACACCAGAGAGGGCUCUCAAAACCUGACUAACCCUGCCAGCACAGGCAAUCCACCUACAGGGAAACACGCAGGGAUGGCGAUAAUAGAUUUAGAUGAGGACUGACUGCCCUUUCUGGUGUCUGCACUAUGAUUUCCCCAAAUUUCUUCCAUUUCCAUAUGGAUGAGGAUGAGGUUAUUUAUUUGCUUUGCUUACCGUGCUUAGGUUGAGCACGCACAGAAAGGCAUGCACUGUUUUGUCAGCAGGAAACACCAUCAUUUUCCCUUUACUCCACCUUGGCGAUGAACUGAUUUUAUAUGUAUAAAUUGGAGCAAGAGAGCAAAAGCUACAUCUGUGCAUCUCCCUUCCCCACUCCAAACAAUUCCCCCUCUUUGCAUUUAGUCCUCUGCUUCCCUAUGUGCUUGUCUUAUGACAAUGUGUGUUCCUGUUAUGCACUGUUUCUACAAAGCUACAGCAAUAACCCAGAGGAGAGGUGGAUGGGGAAAUGCCCAGGCUGUAACAAAGACCGAGUAACUUCAGGAAUCAUACUGUUUCCCCUUAAAAUAGUGUCUCUUUCAGUUUCAAAUGAAAGACAUAGUGUCUCAUUCAGUCUCAAAUGAAAGCCACUUCCAGUAUACUCUUGUUAUAUUACACACUUCAGCUCUCAAAGGGUGUAUGUACAUAAGCUAUGUUAAUGCGCAUUAAACUAAUUUAAAGAUGGUGAAUUUAGGCUAAACACCUAAAUUUAAUACCUGAUAUUUAGGCGCAAUUAGUUAAAGUGCAUUAAUGCACAUCUAGAUGUGACCCACCCUAGAUUUAGCGCCGGGUUUGCCCAGCCACUAGAGGCACAUGGCAAGGCUGCAGAGACUUAGCAUUAGUGCCAAGUGUAUGCACAUGUAGACACCUGCCAAUAAUCACUUAAUGCACAUUAGUUUAAUGUGCAUUAAAUUUAGUCAUUCUUAAAUGCAUGUGUAUAUAGGCCCCAAGUGUAGUUUUAUUUGAAUUUCUUUAGCAGCUGAAUCUCUUCCACAUUUCUGAGCAUCCUUUCCUCCACAUCGGUUCUCUUCCUUGCUGAGCUGCACUGAAUGCAAACUGGCAGGGGGGAGAGAGCAUGGAGAAGAGAGGAAGACAGGUCACAAUAUUGCCCAGCCAUGAAUUCAGCUUGAAACAGGUAUAGAGAAGGAAAGGAGAAUUUUUUAUAAGAGUCGGCUACAAGAACCUGGCAAAACUAGGCUAACGGGGGAGUGUAAUUGAUCUCUGAAAUACAUAAGGGGGAUCUCUGAAAUACAUAUGCACCAGGAAGGCGCUACCACUUCCUUAAUCCAGGUCUUACAGGCUGAAUGCAGGAAAACUCACACAUCCUCACCUUUCCCGUUAAAUCUCCUCUCCUGGAAAAGAAACAGGCAUCGUAGUCAGAAGGAGCCUCUGACUCUGGAUAUGGGAGACAUGGGAUGAGGUUGGGGGCUAUAAUAUUAGCUAGAGAUAUUUCAUCAUUAUGAGUGAGAAAUCAGUAAUAAUAGGUGAGAGCUGGAGGAGAUACUAUGCUCAGUUCCAGGUAUGUAUACCAUCACAUCUCUGCACAUUGGGUUAAGUAUAUUAUCUGCACAUUUCCUCCCAAAAUGAUUAGCAGUGAAAUAGUUAGAAUUGCUGAUGUUACAUUGUCAGAGUCAAGACCUCAGCUGGGAUGUAAGCAGGGAGCCAUUUGCAGAGUUUUAAGAGCUGUUAUUCCAUGCAGGUACCUGGAAAGAUGGAUCAGCUUCAGGUGGUGACCUGGACUAUCUUCUGGGAUAGGGAACUUUUCUCCCCGUCCUCAAUUUUGUGGGUGCAGAUAUAGCACGUCUCAGACCACCCAGAAACAAGGCUUGCUUUGCCUCCUGAAAGUGUUUCACACUCGUCUGUCACGUAGGACAGGCAAUGGUGUUAGUGUACAAUUGGUAUACUUGUUUUGUUGUGCUUCAUGCAUUUCCCAGCUGAUGCUAUUUUACUGUUCUCCCCAGCAGUUGCUUCAGCACAGGUUGAUUUGGGGUAUCCAGAACAGCCCAUGUGCUCUGAGAGUUUAUUAAUUUCAGUAAAUUCACACAACACGCCCGGUCUUUGCUGUUCUUGUUGCUGACACUGCUCAGGCAUUCUGCUCUAGCAGACAAGUGUCAGUUGUGUUGUGCUCUCUAGAAGGCCAGUUUGCAUGUAACCCACUUAGAAAGGGACUUUCAAACCUAGAAAGGAGAAUUUUAAUGGCAGCUGGGUAUCUGCUUCCUUCAGGUGCCUUUAUCGAUCUCAGCCUUAGUACUUAAUUUUGCAAUGGGUAACAUAUGAUUUAUUAUUUACGUUGUCAUUAUGUCUAGUUCUGGUUCAGAGCCCCUGGUGUGAUGUGUCUGAACAAAAAGUUGGUCCAUGCCCCAAAGAGCUCACAUUCUAGGUAAGAUACGUGUAGUGAUUUCAUGAUUAUCAGGGCAGCCACCAAUGGUUUGGCUCAAAAAGAGGAGAAAAUCUACUCUGAAAUGUAUGAUGGACUUUUGAUUGAUACUGGAAGAUAAAAUGCAGAAAUUGCUCAUCUGGGAUCAUUAUAAAUAAAUAGCCUUCUAUGUGGGUAAGCAACGCAAUAGAAAACUCCCUCUCUCGAUACUGCGUUGGUGGAAACCCAGCCUUUCUUGGCUUCCAGGCCCCUGGAACAAAUUACCUUAUGAACAGGCAGAAUGCCAUCCCAACAGAUGAGCCCAGGUAGGCAGCCGAAAUACCAUGUAGGAUCAUCAGAUGUGUUUGUUAAGGUCAAGUCUUCUGGAAAGCCAAGUGGCAAAGGCAGUCUGUCUUAAGCUUCUGUGCCUGCCAUAUGUUAAUUGGAUAGACUAAUGCCUCUUUGGUGCUCAGCUGAAUGAAUGUCCACAAUUUAGCUUUGCAAAGGCAGGCCAUCUCAGCACUUCCUAUGUAGUACGGGAAUAGGGGAAUUUCCUAUGUAGCUAAUGUUUAGUGAAUUAUGGAAUAACCCAAAGCAAAGGAAUAAUGCAUGUGUGUGUUUGUGUGUGAUUACGUGUGUGUGUGUAUGUGGUAAUGUGUGUGUGUGUGUGUGUGCAUUAUGAUUUGAAGCAGUGAAGGAGUGAGGAUGGGCCAUUUGAUGCACAGAAUUGUAUCUAUUUCUCCUAUAUCUUAAAGGAAAAUAAUCACACACAAAGACAUAUGGCUUGUUUGAUAGUAUAAAUGGUAGGGGGCAGUAGGAGCAAAAGGAAAGGAUUCCUCAGCUUUCCCCAAAUGAACCCAUCCUGUGUGUAGCUCUGCCCCUCUCUAUCAACAUUUCUCCCUCCACGGCCUCCAGCCAUUUCCAAAAGAGUUUCUCAGCCCCAGAAUACGCUCUUAAAAGGCUUGAUUUUGAGAGCUCUCUACUGAGCAGGGAUGCCUAUGGAAUACACAAUUUGCCAUAAAAAUAUUAAUAUACCAGGGUAAAUCCUACCUGUACAACUACUUUCUGUGGCAUGGAGGUGUCUGGGUGCAGGCCUGCCAAGUACUUUUCUGCUACUAGAGCUGGAGUGAAGAAACAUGGCCUUGUGGCAGCCUCCCUCCCCAUUACAUUUCAGUCCUCCUCUGUUUCUUGGGGGGCUGUAAUGCAAGCCAGAAUACUGGACAUGUUGUGCGAUCAAAUUUGGAGACAGCAAUGUUUCAUUAGAUUCUGUGCGCUGUCAUCCUGUGUGCAAAUGUCACAAUCGUCUCUGUUAUGUUAUACAUAAGGAGCUUUAAACCCUAGUCGGCAUCAUGGGGAUUGAAGACAGCAGGGGACACUGGAAGGAUUCUGGAAGCUCUGGGUAUUCCUGCUUUGAAAGGUAAGUGCAGACCUAGAGGACUUUCUAGGGGGCCUUUCUUCUGCCAGUGCCAAUAGCUUACGCUCAAGAACUGCAAGUCCUACGACUGUUUCUGGGAAUAAAAAGGGUUUUGGUAAAUAUACAGCUUCUCCCUUAUUAUUUGCUCUAUGCGGGGAACAACAAGAGCCCCAUUGUCCUCUGUUCCAUAUCAACAGGACCUAGCACAAAUGAGGCCUCCUACAUUAGAUACAGCGAUGACAGACCUUGCAAUUUUCAUGCUGUCUGAAAUCAGUAAUAAACUUUGACACAUAACUUUUUAUCCAGGAGCAAAUAGCUCAUCAAUGACUCGAAGAAAUACGGCUCCAGCUGCUAAGGUCUGACUUACCGAUAUGACAAACAGAUCUGCAGUUGGGGUUGGUUUGUUUACAGGUGUGGUGGCUGCUGAGAAGUCAAUGAAAGCACAAGUGGACCCGUCUGCACGGCACGUAUGGGCAAAGGGAUCAGCCUACGUAGUUGUGUGAUGCAUACUAACUUGUUUUAUAGUGCUCAGGCAUGGAAACUGCUGUAACCUGCUCCACUUACACUGACGUUCCUCGCUCAGUUGUUGGGACCCAAGUGUCAUUACUGAGCGGCUCCACCCUGCACGUUCUCUGCCGGUGCUUUUGGCUGUGAAAUGGUACCCUGUGGCUCUGCACACGUGCAGGUGCGUCCUAGCAACUGCACACCCCAAAGAAAAAAGAUGGGGGUUUCCACAAUACCGUAUCUUCUCUUUUUCUCACGUGUGCGUGCAUGUGUGCAUGCAUGCAUGCACACACACGUGCACACACACACACACACACACACACCAUUCUUUACCUGCUUUCUCUUUCUUCCCUCCAGUAUAAAUUGAAGUUAACUCCUUUCAAUCUCAGCAAGCUAAAUCAAGAUAAAAAGGUUAGUCUGCUUAUCUACAUUAAACUAUUUGAGGACAAGAUCAGAUAAUAUGGACUACUUAACCCUGCCCUCCUAAUCUGGACAAUCUACACUUUCUAUUUAAGACUAUGCAGUAUUUGGGUCAAGAAUCUGCCUAUCCAUAAUAUGAGUUUAUAGUAUUAAGAAGUGAUGCUAGCCACCAGUAGGCGAUACUCUUACCUUUGUCCUUAAUAACAUCUCUGCUGAGUGGGGUUGAAUUUGUCACUACAAAUGCUCUUUUGCUGAUAGGCAUACAACACCCCUUGGUUUUUUCUUCACUGAAGUAGCAGUUUAGUUCUGGCAAUCUUCCAUUUAGGCUGUUAAAUUCUGCCUACUGAAAAUCGCCCCUUUACUUUAUGCCUUAGCAUAUUUUAUGUUACUGAUGCAAUGGCUUUUAAAGGGCUGCUUCAUUUUAUCUCUGCAGAUGGAUGCAUUCCAAUGUAGGGUGAAAUUUUUCUUUUUUGUGGAUAAGCCAAAAUGUUCAGGAGAGUCUUUUCCCAGUCCUUUGAUUUACGCAGCUAAAACUUUAUGCCUGCAUUUUUGCACACUUAGUUUUCAAGCCUGCAUUUUUUAAUUCACAAGGACUUUAGUGUCAGUGUGCAGAAUAGGCUGGCUCUUGAUCAGUCGUUCAGACUCCUUGCAAGGGCAUGACAAAAAAAACCUUAAAAUGAUAUUUUUAGCUAUGCAUGAGCUAAUGCAUGUGAGAAUGUCGGUCGUCCACCAGCAGAGACUUUGCACAUGUGAAAAUAUAAUUACUAUAAAGAAUCUACAGAUAAUUUUAGACACCCGAAUUUGGAAACCGCUUCAGAGAAAAUGCCCUGUUAUUUACAGUCCAUCAGAGAUAAGCAACCAAGUAUACAAUCUAUGGAGAGGGUUAUGCCUUGAUUAGGGCAUUAGCCUAUUGUGGGAAACCUGAGUUCAGUCUUCCUUUCUGACCUUGGGCAAGUUACUUAGCCUUUCUAUGCCCGAGUCCCUAGUUUCACCUACCUUAUGGGGGCAUUAUGAUACACUGAAGUUUUAGACUCUCAAGUUCUAGGGUAUUGGAGGACAUCAAAGAAGUUCAAAUAGAUUUGUCAAGAACUGUAGGAGGUGGGAAUGACUGGGUCUAGGAAAUACAUAUACUAAGUACUAUGGUAUGCAAAAGUGACUUUGGUCAUUAAAAUUAUAUAAAAAGAAAGAGUGAGGGUUCCUUUUUCAUAGGCAAAAUAUGUUGGUUACAGAGCAUGUAAGAUGACUAGAAAAACAGUGUUCUUUCCUAACAUGUUACAGAAAUGAAUCAUGAACCGGUUGUCCCUGCGAAAGAGUCAUAUUGCAAAGGUCAGCGUCUGAAGGGUGCACAUUCCCUUGAAUCCAGGUUACUAUGGUGAUCAACAGAAGCGCAGAAUAAACUCUGAUUCAUCAUAAUUGCUUCAUGUGAGAGGAGAAAACAUCUGAACUGCAUCUUUCAGUUUCAAGUUGGUUCUCUGAAGAAACAAUUACAGUUUGGAGAUAUAAACCUGUUCGAUGAGGCCCAUGUAAUCCAUGGGUGAAAUAUUAUAAAGGGGAUGAAACCAUUACAGUGAUGUAUUCCCUUUGGUAAAAAGGACUUUGGCUAUGAACCAUUUUAAGAGCAUGGCAUAUGAACUAGUUACCGUGAAAUAAUCCAAGGUAUUAGAUGACAGUGCAGCAGCUAUUCUGCAGUACAUCAAAGAAAUGGGAUAAACUACCUGGAAUUUACUGUUGGCUAAGAGCAUGCAUAUAGAAAGUAUCGGCAAUCUCUAAGUUCGCACUAUAGUUUACAUAAUAGACAAAUAUGUUACGUGAAAAGCUUUAAAGGUUACAAAUAAACCCACAAUAACAUGAUGGACACUUUUCACAUCCUAUAUGUACCAUCUGCCCCUUAGUGACAUACAGGAAUCGACUCCAUACCCUACCUUAAUAGGUAUAGUACCCACUGCCAACAACAUAAAGAAAGAGCCCAGUGCCAUUUGCUGAGUUCUCUCAACUCAAAUUUUUACCUCUAUAUUCCCUGCUCUUUGUGUUAACCAGAUUCAGUCUUUAAACCUAAGAUUCAAGGAAGUGGGGUUGCUUUCCAUGCACAAAUACCAAUUCAAGAGCAAAUGUGUAGGCCUGGGAGCAUAUUGAUGUAAUGCAGACAUAUUUUGGGAGCACUCAUGUGGCCCUGCAUUGAGAAAUUUGGAACAAAUACAUUUGACUUAAGAAUGCUGAAAUACCCUUUAAUCAGAACCCUUUACUCAGGGGUCUAUCCCGUGCACUGCAGUAUGCAUGAUCAAUGUACCAGGGGUUUUUUGUUUUGCUUUACAAAUCGAACAUAAAUAAUUCAACAUCACAGAAAUGACGUAUUGUAUUCUAUUUAUGCUUUUAAUCAUUCCCAGGCCUAUCUCAUACUAAUGAAGCAUUAAGUUGAUGGAUGUACGACUCUACCUGGACAUAAGAGGGAAAGGUCAAGCCUAAAUCAGAAUUUCUUGCUACUCAGCAAAUUUUACUUAAACUGUUUGGAAGGAAGGGAGAGAGAAAGAGAUUUAAAGAGUGCAUGUGUAGGUGUGUGUGUGUGUGUGUGUAGGAGGGUGAAAUCUAAGCCUAGCAAAAUUUAAGGAAUUUAGGACACAGAACUAAGCCAAGACCUCCUGAGGCAUUGAGUCCAGCCUGCAAGUGCAUCCA